Long non-coding RNA from Lagopus muta (rock ptarmigan), 3169 nucleotides. RefSeq lists it as uncharacterized. The record is from RefSeq and is a predicted model, not a curated record. The transcript has 3 exons. NCBI's taxonomy places the organism in Eukaryota, Metazoa, Chordata, Aves, Galliformes, Phasianidae.
AGUUUGUCUCUGCUGGUGUUUUGUGAGUGAGCCCAGGAUAGAGUUGACAGUUGAAGCUCCAAGCGCACCAGCCACUGUUGGAAUUGUUUCAGUGAGAAGUUCAGAUGGAAGCAGCUCUAAGGGUGUGGAAACUACAGUAGCAAAGUAACUUACUUGGAGUAAACAUAAACCUAGCAGUUACUUGCUCUGCUACAGUAAGGGAAAAAGUAGACAGAGUCUCUCAAUUGGCUUUGCUACGCUGUUACCUAUUUGCAACAUUCCAUGCUACUUUGAGGCAGAAACUUUUCAUAAGCAAGUGAAGACCAAAAGGAGGCUGGCAAGAGCUGCCAUCCUCAAAAGAUGCACUGCUUGGGAGCAGUCCUUACUUCUGGUAAUGGACUAUUGGAUACAGCAUUGUAAUUUGAAGUCAGUUCAAUUUGAAGUUCAGUUCAUUGUAAAAUAGAAGUCAGCACGUGUGGUAACUAUUGUUUGCUAGAGAGAUAACAAUAAAUGGUCAUCCUUGAAUCAAUUCUAAUGUUCUGAAGACUAUAAAUGCUAAGGGUUUAUCAGUAUGUUAAGUCUAGUGCUACACAGGCACACUGCAUUUUGGAAGUUGUAAGAUGAUUUUUUUGAGAAGUGCUACAAAUUAAAGAACAUUGCAGGGGAAAAAAAAAAAAAAAAAAAGGUGUCCCAUCAGAGGCCUGACCUUCAGAAUAAGCAACAUUACCUUUCUUAUGGUUUAAAAAAGACACCGCUUAAAUUAGUUUGAGAUUUGUUUGGGCUUAAAUUAAAAAAUAAAUAAAUCUUGCAUCAUUGCUAUUCAGUCAUUUGCAACCUGACAUUAAAGGACUUCAAAAAAUUUUGAUUUCUAAGACAAGAGAGAUAUUAAGUUAAAGCCAUAAAGCUUCAGUUCUUCUAUUUUAAGCCUUCAGGGAGACUUCACAGUUAUAUUUUUUCCCAGAGGAAUGCCUGCUCAGCCCAAGUUUUAAUUCCACAGAAGGAAAUGGAAAAAAAAUUGCCUUUUAAUAAGACAAUUUAUGAGUCUAUUCUUCAGUUCUUUGUAAGCAGUAGUCAGAGCUACUUGUAACCUUGCUCUUCCUUAUUAGUGUUUGUGUGCAUAUACACAUUUCUAACUCAUUUUGUUAUAUUUAAUUUACUUGUAUUUGACAUUUUACUGUUAGAACUGUUAAGAAACUAAUUGAAAAGGUUCUAAAAAUUCAUUGUUGUCAUCUGAAAAACAGUAAUGUAAUCUCUAUUUAGAGCACACAUUCUUAAUAGUAGCAGUUUUGGUACCAACAGCCUCUUUGAGAGAUCUAUAAUGUCAUGGCAACCCAGUAUUUAUGCUGCAUAUAAAUUCAAUUAUUUAAUAGCUCUGAGUGUACUAUCUACAGAACUUCAUUAAUCAUUUUAUUAAACAAACAAAAAUCCUUUGUCUAUACACGUAUAUUUCUAACACAAUUCUUAAUUAUACUUUACUCUUCCUAAUUAAUAUAGCAACGUUCUCUUUAACCCUUGGUAUUUUCUAAUUUCACUUUUGGCAAGCAAUCUAAGUGCCUGAGGUAUAAAAACAAACUCAACCAUUUUGUUACUUUAUCUGAGCUUCUGAUACAGAAUUGAAUGUUUGCAUUGUGGUUACUGAAUUUUCCAGUUAGAUCAAUAUUUGCAAAGGAAAUGUACUUGGCGGUAAUGUGAUCCCCUGUAAUCUUUGUGUAUUUUCAGAGUUGUAUUCAUAUAGACGCGUAAAGCACAUGCCUGCUUACACACAAUACUUGGAAUACCUAAGAAAGUAUCAUUUACUACAAUAUACAUAGGAACAUAGUUCUGUGCUUGAUUUACUGGUUACAUGCUAUUUGCUUGUUUUUGGUCUGUUCUGAUAGCAUGUGAGAAAGCAAAAGUAGUAAAUUAUUGUUUUAACCUUGAACUAUGCUGGGAGUACUGUCACACAAAAAAAUGAACAGAGAUAUGUAACUGAAUGAUAAAUUCACGUAUGAUUUCAAACACGGAUUGAAUACACCAAAAAAAAUUCUGCUGACCUUUCAUUCAAUUAUACUGCUAAUCCCAUUCUCAAUCUUCCUUUUUCGUAUUCCAUAUCAAAUUUAACUGCUGAUACCUGGGCCUGUGACACUUCCACCCAGCUUUGACGUAAUGCUUCCUUAACUUCUGUAACCUCACCUCUGUAAGUCUGAUCUCAAUCAUGCAGAAGCUGAGCAUCCCUACCCCUAAAUUGUUCAAGUCAACAUCAACAGCUGCAGAUAACAUACCCCUGCAAAAAGAGGACAUGCUGAUAUUAAGUAUCACAAGCCUACCUGAAACAAUAAGGUUAGUCUUUGAAUAGCUGCUCUUUGCCCUGUACAAAGCCUAGACAAGACAAAAAAGAAAAAAAAAAAAAUUGAAACUAACAUUAGUUAACAUUUUUUAGCAACACUUAAUUCAUGCAGAUACCCAAGAACACAUCUGCAUAAUAAAGAGUAACUGAGAAAAGAUCUUUAAGAUAUAUUUUAUUACAAAUUCCUAUGUUCUUUAAUCAACUUGACAGUUACUGUAGCACGGAUUCCAAACAACUAUCAAUUACAAGUGUUCACACAGCCCUGCUAGUCCUACCAAUAUUACUGAGAAAUCAGUUGCUUCAUUAAGAUAUUGGUUGUAUUCCAGCAGAUCUAAUUUAAAGCUUUAUUAAAGAGAUAUGAAGACAUUCACAAUAUUCAGAAACACAUCUUUCUCAAACAGGAGUUAACUGGAAAGAAUACAAAUAUUCAUAUAAUAAUGUACUCAGUAAUCUGCUGAAAUUCAGUGCCUGUAUUUUUAUUUAGGUGAAUGAUGUACAAAUAGCAGAAGCAUUAAUUUGCACAAACGUUCUUUAUUUCUAAAGUGGCUUAUUUGAUGGUGCUAUUAUCAAAUAUAAUUCAGUAAUGGUUAAAUUAAAGGGUAUUUCAAGGCAUCAAAUGGAUCGGUGUCUUUUUGUUGUUCUUUGUUUCUAACAUGUGCAAAAAUAAUUUUAGUAUGGUGGUGUGCAUGCAUGCUUUGUUCUUGAAAUGUAAUUGGUAUCUGUAUUCUGAAGUGAAGCAGGGAUCCCUUUUUCUUCCAAAGCACCGAUUCAAGCUUUGAAGAUGUUUGGAUAUACAUUGGGAUUUAUAAAGAUGGUGGUAUUUUCUGAAAUUCUGCAGUUACUCUUUCCCCAUUUAACUUACUA